GACGAACGCUGGCGGCGUGCCUAACACAUGCAAGUCGAGCGAAUGAAGUUCCUUCGGGAACGGAUUUAGCGGCGGACGGGUGAGUAACACGUGGGCAACCUGCCUCAUAGAGGGGAAUAGCCUUCCGAAAGGGAGAUUAAUACCGCAUAAGAUUGUAGUACCGCAUGGUACAGCAAUCAAAGGAGCAAUCCGCUAUGAGAUGGGCCCGCGGCGCAUUAGCUAGUUGGUGAGGUAACGGCUCACCAAGGCGACGAGGCGUAGCCGACCUGAGAGGGUGAUCGGCCACAUUGGGACUGAGACACGGCCCAGACUCCUACGGGAGGCAGCAGUGGGGAAUAUUGCACAAUGGGGGAAACCCUGAUGCAGCAACGCCGCGUGAGUGAUGACGGCCUUCGGGUUGUAAAGCUCUGUCUUCAGGGACGAUAAUGACGGUACCUGAGGAGGAAGCCACGGCUAACUACGUGCCAGCCGCCGCGGUAA
This 480-nucleotide ribosomal RNA is filed under the name uncultured bacterium. RNAcentral's name for it is "partial 16S ribosomal RNA". It matches the Rfam family "Bacterial small subunit ribosomal RNA", at positions 28 to 523 of the family's 1533-position model. The record is from RNAcentral.